UACGAAGGGGGCUAGCGUUGUUCGGAAUUACUGGGCGUAAAGGGCGCGCAGGCGGCUGCUCAAGUCAGGCGUGAAAUCCCCGGGCUCAACCCGGGAACUGCGUCCGAUACUGGCAGGCUUGAAUCCGGGAGAGGGAUGUGGAAUUCCAGGUGUAGCGGUGAAAUGCGUAGAUAUCUGGAGGAAUACCGGUGGCGAAGGCGGCAUCCUGGACCGGCAUUGACGCUGAGGAGCGAAAGCCAGGGGAGCAAACGGG
This 253-nucleotide ribosomal RNA is filed under the name uncultured bacterium. RNAcentral describes it as "partial 16S ribosomal RNA". It matches the Rfam family "Bacterial small subunit ribosomal RNA", at positions 524 to 776 of the family's 1533-position model. The record is from RNAcentral.